GGCUCAGGAUGAACGCUAGCGGCAGGCUUAACACAUGCAAGUCGAGGGUAGAGGAAGCUUGCUUCCUUGAGACCGGCGCACGGGUGCGUAACGCGUAUACAAUCUACCUUUUACAGAGGGAUAGCCCAGAGAAAUUUGGAUUAAUACCUCAUAGUAUUUUUGAAUCGCAUGAUUUGAUUAUUAAAGUUCCAACGGUAAAAAGAUGAGUAUGCGUCCCAUUAGCUAGAUGGUAAGGUAACGGCUUACCAAGGCUACGAUGGGUAGGGGUCCUGAGAGGGAGAUCCCCCACACUGGUACUGAGACACGGACCAGACUCCUACGGGAGGCAGCAGUGAGGAAUAUUGGACAAUGGGCGCAAGCCUGAUCCAGCCAUGCCGCGUGCAGGAUGACGGUCCUAUGGAUUGUAAACUGCUUUUGUACAGGAAGAAACACUCCCUCGUGAGGGAGCUUGACGGUACCGUAAGAAUAAGCACCGGCUAACUACGUG
This 487-nucleotide ribosomal RNA is filed under the name uncultured bacterium. RNAcentral describes it as "bacterial SSU rRNA". It matches the Rfam family "Bacterial small subunit ribosomal RNA", at positions 21 to 507 of the family's 1533-position model. The record is from RNAcentral.